AGAGUUUGAUCAUGGCUCAGAACGAACGCUGGCGGCGUGUUUUAAGCAUGCAAGUCGAGCGGCAAGGGUCUUCGGGCCCCUAGAGCGGCGGACGGGUGAGUAACACGUGGACAAUCUGCCCCCCGGCCGGGGAUAGCCCAGGGAAACCUGGAUUAAUACCGGAUGAGACGGGACCCGCGGAGGCGGGAUCCGGGAAAGGCGCUGCGGCGCCGCCGGGGGAUGAGUCUGCGUCCCAUUAGCUUGUUGGUGGGGUAACGGCCCACCAAGGCGACGAUGGGUAGCCGGCCUGAGAGGGUGGACGGCCACAUUGGAACUGAGACACGGUCCAGACUCCUACGGGAGGCAGCAGCUAAGAAUCUUCCGCAAUGGGCGAAAGCCUGACGGAGCGACGCCGCGUGAACGAAGAAGGCCGUGAGGUUGUAAAGUUCUUUUCGGGAGGGGAAACAACCGUGGCAGGGAAUGGCCGCGGGAUGACGUGAAUCCCGGAAUAAGCCCCGGCUAACUACGUGCCAGCAGCCGCGGUAACACGUAGGGGGCGAGCGUUGUUCGGAAUCAUUGGGCGUAAAGGGCGUGCAGGCGGUCCUGCAAGUCCGGCGUGAAAGACCCCGGCUCAACCGGGGGGGCGCGCUGGAAACUGCAGGGCUUGAGUACAGGAGGGGAUG
This 662-nucleotide ribosomal RNA is filed under the name bacterium enrichment culture clone F10 1.694-9. Its description in RNAcentral is "bacterial SSU rRNA". It matches the Rfam family "Bacterial small subunit ribosomal RNA", at positions 8 to 660 of the family's 1533-position model. The record is from RNAcentral.